RNAcentral lists this long non-coding RNA (4934 nucleotides) under Homo sapiens (human). RNAcentral describes it as "HSALNT0310570". Lineage: Eukaryota; Metazoa; Chordata; Mammalia; Primates; Hominidae. The record is from RNAcentral.
AUCUUCACAGUUUAUGUUCUUCUGCCAUGGCUUCAGCCAGUCCCUCCACUUGGGGUCCCUGACUUCCCGCAACAGUAAAUGAAUGCCAAACUACAUAUGAAAAUGAAAACGACCAAAACCGAAAGAGAUCUGGGUUCUCAUGUCAAUUCUAUUAUUUACAAGGCAUACUAUUCAAGUCCUAUAAAACUAACCCUAAAUGUUCUUAUCUGUAAAGGAGAUGGGGGUGGGGGAAAUAACAUCUGCCUACCACUCUUUUCAAGUAUGCUAUAAAGCACAAUAAACUAAUGUACAUGAAAAGUGUUAGAAAGUGAAAAUAGCUAUAAAUAUACAGAGCAUCAAGGAAGACUGAACAAAAUGCUAUUAGCCAUGAAUCACCCAUACCAUUUUAGGCCUCUGAAAUAAAAAGUAGUCAGAACAGUUUGAAACAUGGGAAAUAGCACCAGUACUUAACAGGGAUGGCAAAAGACUGAAGAAAUGCCCAGUCAUCUAUCGAAUUGCUAAGGAAGUCAGCCAGCUAAUCAAAGAUAUAUGGAGGCCUAUCACUCCACAAUUCCACAACAGUGAUUUAUCCAAAAGAUUUAAAAAAUCCAUCCAAGAAUGCUCAUAGCAGUUUUAUUCCUAACCACCAAAAACCAGAAAUGCAAAUGUCCAUCAACAGAAAAAUGGAUAAACAAACAGUAUAUCUGUACUAUUACUCAGCAAUGAAAAUGAACCAAUAAUGCAUGAAACAUGGAUAAAUCUCAAAAACGUUGAACAAAAGAAGUCGUGACACAAGAAUACAUAUUGUAUGAUUCCAUUUUUAUAAAGUUCUAGAAUACGGAAAUUAUGCUAAGAGAAAUCAGAACAGUGGUUGCCUCUGGGGACAGGGAAGACUGAAAACGGACAUGAGGGAACUUGCUGGGAGAAUUGUUUUCUUCCUUGCUCCUAAAUCACAGAGGAGAUAGUCCAUAACCAGUGAGCUGGGCCAGAAGCUAAGUACUUUUAUCCCUCUUCCCAAACUGGAAAUAAUGCUUUUCUUUGGCUACCUAACAGUGCAGUGGCAAAAGGUUCAGAUUCGGUUUUCAGGCUCAGAGUAGAAUGAGCAAAAACCAAUGACAUUUCCACUUUUCCAACUAUAAUGCUGAAAAAAAUAGCUGCUGCACUGUAUCUUUUAAGAGUGUUGUGGAUACCAGCUAUUGUGGGUUUGUUCAACUCCCAACCCCUGGCAACUCAGAAUAUGACUUUAACUGGAGAUAGACUCUUUACAGAGGUAAUUAAAAUGAGGUCAUUAGGGUGGGCCCUAAUACAGUAUGACUGGUGUCCUUACAAGAAGAAAUUUGCAAAAAGACAUGGACAGAGGGAAAAUAAAGGGAGAAGACAGCGAUUUUGCAAGCCAGAGAGAGAUACCCUGAACAGAUCCUUCCCUCUCAGCCUUCCAAAGGAAUCAAUCCUGACGGCACCUUGAUCUCAGACUUACAGCCUCCAGAACUUUGAGUAAAUAAAUUUCUAUUGUUUAAGCCGCCCAGUUUGUAGUACUUUGUUACAGCAGCCCCACCAAACUAAUGUACCAGCACUGAAGUAAAAAGAAGAGACACAUACUUUAGGUUUCAUUCUUAAUGCCAGAAACAUCAGAACGGUGUUUUCUAGUAAGGAGAGUAUUUUUUAUAAAAGGCCAAUCGAAUGAAUUUUUGACAAAUGCCUUCCACAAUGCAGUCAUUUAAGGACUUAAUACUUACUGGAGGCAGUCUAAGGUCUGAGGUACUGCUAACCAUAUAGUUUUGAAUGCAAGCAUUAAGUGAAUAAGCUCCCAAACAAAAUAUCUAUACCUCAGUGGCCAGCAAAUAGUCUUUAAAAGUUCUUCAAUAAAAGUGACUUCACAUGUAAAUUUUACUAAAAGCUAAAUAGGUGGUUGGGGGAGGAGGGUGGAAAUUAUGGUGGGAAGAAAAAAGGAAGAUUCUGAUUACGGCAGGAUUAAGAACACGGAUUCUGUAGUCAAACUGCCUGGAUCUGAAUUCUGCCUCUAGCUUUUACUAGCAGUAUAAAAACUUUGAAAGUUUAAAAGCUAAAUGUCUUAGUUUCCUUAUAUAAUACCUUCACAAAUUUAGGCUAAAAUGAGAUUAGUGAAAUGGCUAAAUUUAACAGUAUUUAAAAUGUAAUAAGCUCACUGUUUGCUAUUAUUUCACCCCAUUCCAUAAUAAUUAUUAACAUUAAUUCCAGUGGACUCUAGUAUUACUAUAGAUUCUAUGGAUGUAUUCACUUGUUUGAUUACAGGUGCCACGCCAAAAAUUAUACCUCUCAUCCACAAAUCUUAGAGUUGCAUCAUGUACAAAUACUUGGUUUCUGAAGAAUUCUGGACUGCAAGUUAAAGAAAGUGAGUAGUUUUACUCUAAAACAAGUCACCAAAAUAUAAAAGAGAAUGAGAAGAGAUACCAUCUUCAAUACAAUAAGGAAACAGUUACAACCACAAACCAAACUAUGAAUUAUUUCUAUCAAUAACAGUGAAAUGUGUACCAAACUGAAGGACACUGAGUCAAGCGAAGCUUCUUCAGAUCUUGGGAAGGUUACCGAGUCCUCUAAAAAGUCAUGUUUGCAUGUGUGUCCCAUUUGCUCCUUUCUCUCUGCUGUGUCCUAAAAUCCCUAAAAAUCUUUCAGACGAUCUAGAGCUGUCUGGGUAAUUCACAGGAAAAGCACCUACAGAACUCUUAACCUCACACUGCAUAAGAAUAAAGUGGGGCAGUGCUAAAAAAGAGACCAAGAAGGCAUCUUUAUUAAUUUUUUACCCAGCUGGAGAUGAGGGAGAGUAACAGCCAAUCACCAGCAGAUUACUAUCUAAGAACUCAUUGAUCUAAGAAGCUGCUGAGCCAGCCCAACUACCUGUGGUAUAUCAACAAAAAAAGGAAACUAAAUGAUGAGAACAUAUGGACACACAGAGGGACACAACACACACUGGGGCCUAUCAGAGGGUGGACGAUAAGAGGAGAGAGAGGUUCAGGAAAAAUAAUGGGAACUAGGCUUAAUAUAUGGAUGAUGAAAUAAUCUGUACAACAAACCCACAUGACUUAACUUUACCUAUAUAACACACCUGCGCAUGUACUCCUGAACUUAAAAUUUGGUUACUUAAGUUUACCUAUAUAACACACCUGUGCAUGUACUCCUGAACUUAAAAUUUGGUUUGAGAGUUAUUUGAAGAAACAAACCUAACAGAUGUUCACUUUUUGCCCCUUCCUUUCUGUUCUGCAAAGAGGCAUAUUCCUCGAAGAUACGUAAGAAUCUGAAAGCAUCCAGCACAGGACUAGGAUAAAAAUAUACAGAGUAGAGUAAACUAGGAGAAAUGCAGUUGGAAAAAACCAUCCCAGAAAAUAAGAUGAAUUCAUGAGCUACUCUAUAUACUCAACUUCACUGAAUUUAAGUUCUGAAGAGGAGACCUCAAAGAAAAGUUACAAGAAAGAGAUAAGACAAUGUAGAGAGACUAUGAGAGCUAGCUGAGUUUGGGGAAAAAAGGAAAACUAUUAAAGAUAAAAACCUAGAAAUAACAAAAAGUAGGAUAAACAUGACUUAAAAUGGUCAAGAAUUUGAAGCCAAAGCCAGAGAAUCAAUCUUUAAAAACAUAAGUCAGAGCAUGUUAUUCCACUCCAAACAGAACUCUCCAUUGGUUUUCCACAUCACUUAAAGGGCCAAGGCAACACAAAAGAGUGAAACCAAUUGGAGAAAAUAUAAAUAUCCUUAUUUCCUAAUUUUUAAUCACAAGUCAGACAUAAUAAAAACCUGAAAUAUGAACACAGAAGGAAAUGACUCUAAAAUAAUCUCAAUCUUUCUAUUUUUUUAUGUUAGAGAAAUAUAUUUAGAGAAUAUAGAACUCUUGCUAUGGAUAUCGCAGUAGUUUUUAAAAUACAAAAUUACAGUAACUGACUAUUGUAUGUUCUUAUGAAAACAUAUGACUUUAAUGCAAUCUUACACGACUUUUAUACAAAUAAGCAUUAUUUCAUAUUGCUUAAUUUACUUAAGAUUAUACCUACCUGCUACUAAAAUGUGGUGUUGGUAAUUAACAUGAAGUGUAAACACCUACACUAAAUUUUCAUUACUAACUAUAAACAAAUUAGCCUAAUUUUGUUGCCUAUAUUUCUCUUCAUGUAUUUUUUUCUCAUCUUUACCUAGAGAAUUGAUCAGAUCAAAUAUCUAGUUUCAAUUCUAAUUUAUAACUCAACUUACCAUAAUUCAUUAAAAGGCUGUUUUGAUGGAUCCAGAAUUUAAAAUUAGGGUUAUAGAAAUCAGUCAGUUUAACUUGGGCCUCAGCAACCAUGGCAUUCAAACCAAAUUUAAGCAGAACUCCUGGAGCAUCUAUACAGAACCUUAUGAGUCUAUAUACUAUAUAUUGUCUGAAGACUAUUCUUCUGAUAUUUAUUCUGAACUAAAAUUUGGAUACGAUUAGUCUUUUACUACCCUGCUAUUCUGGAAAUCUAUUUCCAAUAUAAAAGUAAGAAUUCACUGGUUAGCUUAUACUUGACUUCUAAAAUGUGUAGUAUAUCUUCUGUAAAACUGUCCUAAUCAACUUUCAAUUUAAAGAGUUAAUAGGAAUUUAAAAUGGAUAUAACAUGAAUGAACUGAAGAAAUAUCCACCAAUCAAAAUUCCUUCCUGAUCAGGUUUCUGGUUCAGAUUUCAAAAUCUCUCCUGGGCUGGGCAUGGUGGCUCACAGCUGUAAUCCCAGCACUUUGGGAGGCCGUGGUGGGUGGAUCACCUGGGGUCAGGAGUUCGAGACCAGCCUGGCCAACAUGGUGAAACCCCAUCUCUACUAAAAAUACAAAAAUUAGUUGGGCCUGGUGAUGCAUGCCUGUAAUCCCAGCUACUCAGGAGGCUGAGGCAGGAGAAUCAUUUGAACCUGGUAGGUGGAGGUUGCAGUAAACCGAGAGAUGGUGCCACUGCCCUCCAGCCUGGGUAACAGAGCAAGACUAUGUCU